AUUAAAUUUAUAUAUUUAUAAACUUUAUUCUCUCUGCCUCAUUCACGUCUAUAUCGUAUAUAAAUAUAUAUAUUUACGUCGCAAAACAUUUCUUCUUGGGGCGUUUUUGAACAGACGGAUGGCUCUGCCUACGUAGAACAAGGAAGUACCAAAGCACUGGCUUCGAUAUAUGGUCCUUACAGUGUAACAUCGAAUUCAAAUACCAAUUACAGCCGUUGUGUAUUAAAUUCUGAAUUUUCAAUGGCCAGCUUUUCUUCCGGCGAGAGACGGCGGAAACAACAAGCGAUCUCAGAUCACAGGAAUUGGGCUUAUUAAUACAACAAACUUUUGGGGAGUCUAUUUUGACUAAUUUGUACCCAAAUUCACAAAUUGAUAUCUUCGUACAAAUAAUACAAGCCGAUGGGGUGUGCCAAUGAAAGAUUUUGUUGUAUGGUGUGCGGCCGGAUUUGUUGAAAACACACCAAUUGUCGAUAUGAAUCAUCUCGAACUCACUGUUGACGGUCCUGAGUUAACGCUCGCCGUGCUUCCCAGGUCUCAACAAAUUGUUCUCUGCCAGAGAUGGGAUCUCGCUUGCAUGCGGACUACAUGGAUUCGGUUUUACGAGUGGCAAUGAAGGGCUGCGAAGAUUUCUAUUCGCUUUUGAAGGAGCUCGUUAGAAAUCGAACUGAAUUUUUAGCUCAGACUAUUUGCUCGUGAAUAAUCCUAC
Molecule: long non-coding RNA, 706 nt
Organism: Zophobas morio
Lineage: Eukaryota; Metazoa; Arthropoda; Insecta; Coleoptera; Tenebrionidae
Exons: 7
Source: RefSeq, a predicted model, not a curated record